UACGUAGGUGGCAAGCGUUACUCGGAAUCACUAGGCGUAAAGCGCAGGUAGGAGGUUCGAUAAGUCUGUUGUGAAAGCUCCCGGCUUAACUGGGAGAGGUCAACGGAAACUGUCGAGCUAGAGUGCGGUAGAGGUAGCUGGAAUUCCCGGUGUAGCGGUGAAAUGCGUAGAUAUCGGGAGGAAUACCUAUGGCGAAAGCAGGCUACUGGACCGUCACUGACUCUGAUCUGCGAAAGCUAGGGGAGCAAACAGG
Molecule: ribosomal RNA, 253 nt
Filed under: uncultured bacterium
Lineage: Bacteria
Description: partial 16S ribosomal RNA
Rfam family: Bacterial small subunit ribosomal RNA
Source: RNAcentral